RNAcentral lists this ribosomal RNA (261 nucleotides) under uncultured prokaryote. RNAcentral describes it as "partial 16S ribosomal RNA". It matches the Rfam family "Bacterial small subunit ribosomal RNA", at positions 524 to 782 of the family's 1533-position model. The record is from RNAcentral.
UACGUAGGUGGCAAGCGUUAUCCGGAAUUAUUGAGCGUAAAGAGCGCGCAGGUGGUUGAUUAAGUCUGAUGUGAAAGCCCACGGCUUAACCGUGGAGGGUCAUUGGAAACUGGUCGACUUGAGUGCAGAAGAGGGAAGUGGAAUUCCAUGUGUAGCGGUGAAAUGCGUAGAGAUAUGGAGGAACACCAGUGGCGAAGGCGGCUUCCUGGUCUGUAAACUGACACUGAGGCGCGAAAGCGUGGGGAGGCAAACAGGAUUAGA